UACAGAGGGUGCGAGCGUUGUCCGGAAUCACUGGGCGUAAAGGGCGCGUAGGUGGUGGCUUAAGCGUGCGGUGAAAGCUCGGGGCUCAACUCCGAGUCGGCCGUGCGAACUGGGCUCACUGGAGCAUAGUAGAGGCAGGUGGAAUUCCGGGUGUAGCGGUGGAAUGCGUAGAGAUCCGGAGGAACACCAAAGGCGAAGGCAGUGUCCUGGGGAGUACCUGACGCUCAGGUGCGAAAGCCAGGGGAGCGGAACGGG
Molecule: ribosomal RNA, 255 nt
Filed under: uncultured bacterium
Lineage: Bacteria
Description: partial 16S ribosomal RNA
Rfam family: Bacterial small subunit ribosomal RNA
Source: RNAcentral